AGUGAACGCUGGCGGUAGGCCUAACACAUGCAAGUCGAACGGCAGCACAGUAAGAGCUUGCUCUUACGGGUGGCGAGUGGCGGACGGGUGAGGAAUACAUCGGAAUCUACUUUUUCGUGGGGGAUAACGUAGGGAAACUUACGCUAAUACCGCAUACGACCUACGGGUGAAAGCAGGGGAUCUUCGGACCUUGCGCGAUUGAAUGAGCCGAUGUCGGAUUAGCUAGUUGGCGUGGUAAAGGCCCACCAAGGCGACGAUCCGUAGCUGGUCUGAGAGGAUGAUCAGCCACACUGGAACUGAGACACGGUCCAGACUCCUACGGGAGGCAGCAGUGGGGAAUAUUGGACAAUGGGCGCAAGCCUGAUCCAGCCAUACCGCGUGAGUGAAGAAGGCCUUCGGGUUGUAAAGCCCUUUUGUUGGGAAAGAAAAGCAGCAGGUUAAUCCCCCGCUGUUCUGACGGUACCCAAAGAAUAAGCACCGGCUAACUUCGUG
RNAcentral lists this ribosomal RNA (492 nucleotides) under uncultured bacterium. Its description in RNAcentral is "partial 16S ribosomal RNA". It matches the Rfam family "Bacterial small subunit ribosomal RNA", at positions 29 to 507 of the family's 1533-position model. The record is from RNAcentral.